CAGACGGGCGCAGCGCGCAGGGUUUAUCCCUGUCAGAUGCUAAAGCGACAGCCAUAUUAAUGCAGAAUAAACAGCGGGCACGGCAUUGCGCACGGCCAACAACUUUCCCACCGCCGCCAGCCCCACCGAGCCCACCCGGGGGAAGGGGGCAAAUAAAAGCCGAGGGCGCCGCGCGUUUUGCCGUGCGACAUUAGGAGGCGGCAGAGAAAAAUCCCUGCCCAUGCGGGGGAGAAGAGGAGUUAGUCCCGGUGUAGUUGCUGCACCAGCCAUAUUACUCUCGGCGGCACGGGAGCCCGGCGCGGAGAAACGGGGCUGCACCGGGGACAGGGACACCGUCGGCAGAGCCGGUGACUCCUGCGCAUCACAGGGAGGGAACCGAGCCCCAGAUAAACUCCGCUGACGGUCCCAACACGCGAUGGAUGGAAAAGGAACUACGGAGCAAGAACCUGCGUGUUUGCUGGGGGGUGGGGGGGGGGGAUCAGAGAGUUUUACCCACUCAUUCAUGAAAUAAAGUGCCAAAACAAUUAA
Harpia harpyja (harpy eagle) is the source of this 528-nucleotide long non-coding RNA. RefSeq lists it as uncharacterized. NCBI's taxonomy places the organism in Eukaryota, Metazoa, Chordata, Aves, Accipitriformes, Accipitridae. The transcript has 2 exons. The record is from RefSeq and is a predicted model, not a curated record.